Long non-coding RNA from Drosophila biarmipes, 2002 nucleotides. RefSeq lists it as uncharacterized. The transcript is spliced from 5 exons. NCBI's taxonomy places the organism in Eukaryota, Metazoa, Arthropoda, Insecta, Diptera, Drosophilidae. The record is from RefSeq and is a predicted model, not a curated record.
AUUGAAGGAGAAGAGUCACCGUACACAGCGUCUAAGCGCUCUUUGAUUUCGCUGCUCGAAAUUAUAAUUGGACUACUUUUUCCAUCGGAAGUGGAAAAACCUCAUAAUAUAAAUAUGUUGUCUUGGAAGACGGCGGAAAGUGACAUAAUAUGUACACUAAAAAUAUUUCAAGGAUGAUCGACUGCACAAUAAGGAAAUCAAAAGAGGGCCCAAUUUUUCUGCAUUGUGUGCUUAAAUUACGAAUUGAAACACAAGAUGCUAUGCAGUGCCAGGGGCUCAAAGGCGCCGCAGCCCCAGAAUAAUACAUUGGAAUUUACCAAAGCUCAACAUCAGCUUCAAGUUUCAUUCGUCGUCUACGAGGUGCAGGGUUCCUAUGCUGACAUUCCUGGUCUAGUGAGCAGAUCCCAUAGUGGAGAACACUACUCUACUGGUCUGCAAAAUAGGCUUCUGUGGCGGCGACGACCUUCUCAUUCGACGCUAAUUUCUGUCCAGCGAGUGACUUUUUCAAGUUUGGAAACAAAAUGAAAUAACACGGGUUCCGGAGUGAGCAAACGCGGCACCCAUCACGCCGACAGCUUUCUCAUGCCCACAAUUUUAUGCAGAAUAUGAUCCAUGCGGUCUUUUGACAUGCCUACUGUCUAUGUUAUCCCGCGAAAAUUCAAUCGGCCGUCUACCACGGUCACGUUAUCCUCCGUGGUACCAUUUUUCGGGUCGACCACGUAGAAACUCUUUAAGUUUUUGGCGGUCGCCAUUGAAGGAAAAGAGUCACCGUACACAGCGUCUAAGCGCUCUUUGAUUUCGCUGCGCGAAAUUAUAAUUGGACUACUUUUUCCAUCGGAAGUGGAAAAACCUCUUCAUAUAAAUAUGUUGUCUUGGAAGACGGCGGAAAGUGACAUAAUAUGUACACUAAAAAUAUUUCAAGGAUGAACGACUGCACAAUAAGAAAAUCAAAAGACGGCCCAAUUUUUCUGCAUUGUGUGCUUAAAUUACGAAUUGAAACACAAGAUGCUAUGCAGUGCCAAGGGCUCAAAGGAGCCGCAGCCCCAGAAUAAUACAUUGGAAUUUACCAAAGCUCAACAUCAGCUUCAAGUUUCAUUCGUCGUCUACGAGGUGCAGGGUUCCUAUGCUGACAUUCCUGGUCUAGUGAGCAGAUCCCAUAGUGGAGAACACUACUCUACUGGGUCCUAAGGACGCUAGGCCUUGCUGAUGUAGCGCGCUGCUCAAUGUGAGCACUUUUCUGCGAUGCUGGUAAACUCUGGGAAUUUCCUUACUGUGCGAAGUCCUUGCUCUGUUAUGUCUUAAUCGACAUAAGCCAUCCAGAAUCGGCAGAAUACGCCAGUGGCAAGCCUGCUUAAUUUUUACUUAACUAUUCGGACAACCGACCGUGGUAGCUAGAGCUUUUCUCGUAGCAGUCGACCCGGAUUCCAGUUAAACCUAGCCCGAGCACACUGUUCGCGCUGACUUGGCUCGAGCCCGAUCUCGGAUUAAAUUUAGACAAAGGCUGGCAACCACCUGGCGACAACAACAAAUUUUGUCCACUUCAGGAUCGGCAGGAAACAUCGGUGCUGAAUUCCUCCAUAACUAUUUAUUCAGUGCUUUUAACAGUCGACCCGGUAUCCGCUAAAUUUACCCGCGUAGUAACUUUGAUUAGACGAUAGACGAUGACUGGUCCCGACUUCACCACCUGUUCUGCACCACACUAGGGUCCAAAAUUAAAACGAUGGAAUCGACGUUUCGUUUUCACUGAUGCCGUCUCACUUUAUUGCCUCAGGCUGGCAACCCUGAGUGCGACAAUCCCUAAAAAACACUUUUUGUGUUUGGAGACAACUUUUGCAAAACAAAUUUUAAAAUAUGUCAAAAAAUGGUUGAAUGUAGCAAAGUGAGGUAUAAGAACAGUAAGGGACUAAGAAUAGUUUGUGUUCCUAGCGGCCAACGGGCUGUGCGAGUCUUUUUAGUGUUACAUUUAAUAAAAUUUGUAUUUUUCUCGAGAAAAUUGAGAAGA